ACGGAAGGCAGCAGUGGGGAAUAUUGCACAAUGGGGGAAACCCUGAUGCAGCGAUGCCGCGUGUAGGAAGAAGGUUUUCGGAUUGUAAACUCCUGUCUUAAAGGACGAUAAUGACGGUACUUUAGGAGGAAGCUCCGGCUAACUACGUGCCAGCAGCCGCGGUAAUACGUAGGGAGCGAGCGUUAUCCGGAAUUACUGGGUGUAAAGGGAGCGUAGGCGGGACUGCAAGUCAGAUGUGAAAUGCCGGGGCUUAACCGCGGAGCUGCAUUUGAAACUGUGGUUCUUGAGUGAAGUAGAGGCAAGCGGAAUUCCUGGUGUAGCGGUGAAAUGCGUAGAUAUAAGGAAGAACACCAGUGGCGAAGGCGGCCUACUGGACAGUAACUGACGCUGAGGCGCGAAAGCGUGGGGAGCAAACAGGAUUAGAUACCCUGGUA
Molecule: ribosomal RNA, 434 nt
Filed under: uncultured Ruminococcus sp.
Lineage: Bacteria; Bacillati; Bacillota; Clostridia; Eubacteriales; Oscillospiraceae
Description: bacterial SSU rRNA
Rfam family: Bacterial small subunit ribosomal RNA
Source: RNAcentral